This 68-nucleotide transfer RNA is filed under the name Marmota monax (woodchuck). Its description in RNAcentral is "tRNA.Ala". The record is from RNAcentral. Lineage: Eukaryota; Metazoa; Chordata; Mammalia; Rodentia; Sciuridae.
GGAUUGUGGCUCAGAGGUAGAGUGCUCAUCUAGCACACGUGAGGCCCUGGGUUCGAUCCUUAGCACCA